Molecule: unclassified non-coding RNA, 1479 nt
Filed under: Dermacentor andersoni
Lineage: Eukaryota; Metazoa; Arthropoda; Arachnida; Ixodida; Ixodidae
Description: interaptin-like
Source: RNAcentral
UGGUUUCUUGUUUUUGUCGUCAUGGUAACGCUUCUGUGGUGGUGUAAUGGAGGAGGGAGCUGUAUAUUGCACACCGACGCUGCCAUCGAAAAAGAAAAGGCGCGCACAAGAAAAGCUGCUGCGUUCACCUGUGGCGUGUGCGCUCCUGCCAGCCAUUAGCCUGCUGGCAGUGCCAGGAGCCAGCCUGGAGCCGGCCCACCCAAGCAUGUCGGGGCCCUCACCUGGCAAGACCCCCCGCUUUCCUAUCGCUGUGGAUAUUCCUGUUCCACCAGAGCGACGAACAUCAGCCAUCAAUAUUGUCACUAACCCCAGCUUUGACGGCGGCUUGGAACAGGCCCCAGAAGAAGCUCUCUACUCCACAAUUCAGCCAAAGCACGAGUGUGGAUCUAGUCCUGGAACACCACCUCCCCCGCUGCCUCCAAAACAGCUUGAGGUUCUCUACACUAAGCCUAUUAAGCCUAAGAAAUCCAAAUCGAGGGAAGGGUCCCGAGGCUCGAAGGAUUUUGGAGAUGGAAAAGAUGGCCCUCAGCUCUGGAAGCUGCACAUAUCGCAAGAGAGCCCCCCAAAGCCUUCACAGAGCUCCUCUGGGUGCAACUGUCAGCAACUGGCAUCACUGCUGCAAGACAACUAUGCUAUGAAACAUGAACUACUAACAUAUAAGGAUCGGAUAAAAUCCCUUACUACUAAACUAAAACAGUUUGAAGGAAUAUCGGAAGUCAUGAAGGAACUUCAACAGAAUGUUGAAAGAGUGUCAGAAGAAAAUAAAAGGCUCAAGCAGUAUGAAAAAUGCAUUACAGAGGCCAAGACUACAGAACAAGAGAAGCAUGACCUUUUUGAACAGCUCAAAGAUGCACAGUCACAGUACAAGUAUGAUGUGGACCAUCUGAGCCAGCAGGUGAGUCAGCUGGAGCGUGAGAAGCAAGAGCUGGAAGGGGCCCUAGCCAAGUUACAGCAGGAGCAUGACCAGCUGCUCAUCUCCACCCAGAACUCUGUCUCCUUCCAGUUCCACACAACAGCCAUGCUUGAGGUCAAGAGGCUUCUAGAAGAGCUCAAACAAAAGUACCAAAAUGACAAGGAAAAUCUCACACAUAAGGUCCAGCUGGCCGAACAAGAACGGCAGGAGCUGAAACAGCAGCUGGUACAGCUGGAAGAAGAAGUGGGAUGGCUGCGAAGUGAUCAUAGUGCUCUCUCAGGCGCCUACCGCCGAGCUGUUCGCCAAAACCACACAUUAGUCACCCAUCUCCGUGAACUUCAGGAUGAUGACUCUGAGAUGCACUCACUGCUGUCAUCACUUCUUGUCACUGAAUGAUGUUUUCGAAAACCAUGCUGAAAGGAAGGAAAAAACAGGCUCACCAAGUAGUUUCUGAACGUGACAGCUUAGAAAUAAAGAACGAGGAAAAGGAAAAAGAGUGCCAACGCAUGUUGGAACUUCUUGGACAGCAUAAUGUGGAUAUAGAUCAGUUGAACAAAUAUCUCAAG